RNA transcript from Venturia canescens, 4923 nucleotides. It is a transcript of the gene named popeye domain-containing protein 3-like, with no coding region annotated. The transcript is spliced from 10 exons. Lineage: Eukaryota; Metazoa; Arthropoda; Insecta; Hymenoptera; Ichneumonidae. The record is from RefSeq and is a predicted model, not a curated record.
CCGCGAAUGUCUCGUGUAUCCACGCGCCCGCCGCUCGCUGCCGUCGUGCGAUCACUUCGCAGGACUGCAUUUCGCUAAGUGUUGCCUGCGGUAUCGAUGGUUACAUUACAUUCUUCCGCACGCUUGUUUUGUAAUUCGAAAUCUAAAUUAAUCGUAGCAGCCAAUAUAUUUGUUAAACCCCUUUGAUGAUUAGUGUAGAACAAACGUGUUCAGUCCCAUUAAAAUUCAUGCUUUGAUAAUAGAGUUUGCCCACUGUUGAGGUUUUAUCUGAAUUUUCGUGAUGAAUCAUUCGUAUAUUUCAUUCGUUAGAAUAUAUACGUAAAAGAUCUUUUCAUCAAGGGGAAAAAAUGUAAAGACCCUCCAAGGGGGUGAGUGAGUAAAGUGCUCUAUUCGCUGCGAGUGUCAUGUCCUAUUCGCGUAUCAGAAAAACAAGUUUAAGACGGUUCGUCGUUUUUUGCUUUGCUGUGUGUGACGUGUGAUCUUUGCAAUGUCAAGUGUGUGAUACAUAAGAGAAUAGUAUUUGCAUAAGUAACUAUAACAAACAAACAGAAAUUAAUUUCACGAUUGAAAAGGAAAUAACGAGCUCUCUUGUUAAUUAUUUUCCUUCGAUCGUGGACAGACAGUUUUGUUAUUUUUUUCAUCCAACAAUCCGCCGAUUUCUAUACAUCGCCAACGACGAUACCAACCCAUAAAUGAAAUAAUAUGCGGUGUAUUCAAUAGUCUGUUCCUCUAAUGGCUCGGAGAAUUCGAAGAUAGGAUUUUCAAAUGGAAAGUUAGCCAAGCUCUUAACGAAAUGUGACGGAAGCAGAUAACCUUUGUUCGGCUAAGAGAAAAAUAGAAAGCAAAUAAAUUGCAGUGGUGGCAGUAGCAGCGGCAACAGCAGAGUGUGGAGCAAAAAACAUUUGAUUGUCGAUUCAGCAGGAUUUGUGGUAGAGGGAUUGGUAAUGCGGGGAUGUGGAUUCGUUGGUACCGAAUAGGAGGCCGAGAAGGCUGUGGCAUAUCCCUACCGUCCCUUCUUUUAUUGUGCUGGUGUCAUAUAAGCGUUAAUGCCAAUCUGACAAAUGCCGCCAUACCCAAUAUUCCUCAAAGUCCCGCUUCAUCGGAAGUCUCACUGCCGACAUCGACUAAUCAGCUUGACAGCGAGUGUAGAAAUGUGACCGCCGACGGAAAUACGGGUGCGGGACUGAGUGUAGUGAGCCACAGUCCGACUUACCCCCAUCCGCCGAUAGUGCCUCCAACAUUUUUCAACGGAGCUUUCACUUGCCAGCCCUAUCACGGCUUUUAUGUCAAUCACAUUUACUUUCAACUGGCGAACGCCUUUUUUUUGCUAUCGCAUCUUGCCCCCAGCGGGAUACACGGAGUUUUGUAUUUGCGUUCAACACUCCUCGUUGGCUGCGCCUUUCUUGCUCUCUGGGGUUGGACCAUAGCUUGUUGGCUCGAUGCCGCCCUCUGGAACGCACUCUUCGUCGCUAUUAAUUUUCUCCACGUUUGCAUGCUGCUCUACAGGCUCAGGCCUAUUAAAUUCUCAAGAGAGAUUGAAGAGGUAUAUGCUGCCGUGUUUCAGCCUCUUCGUGUGUCACGACAUCAAUUCAAGAAAGUACUCAGCUGUAUGAAAAUAAUACGACAAUUGAAAUAUCAGGAAGUUUAUGCCCAAGAAAAAGUCACCAAGGUUGACUCGCUCUCCUUAGUCCUCUCUGGAAAACUAGUCGUGUCACAAAACGGACGAGCACUUCACAUAGUCUUCCCCCAUCAGUUUCUCGAUUCGCCAGAAUGGUUUGGCGUUUCGACCGAUGAAUAUUUUCAAGUCUCAAUAACUGCGAUGGAGGAGUCGAGAAUAUUGCUUUGGCACCGUGACAAAUUGAAAUUAAGCAUAAUGAGCGAUCAAUUUCUGCAGGCAGUUUUUGAUCACAUACUCGGCAGGGACGUAGUCAAAAAAUUGAUGCAGGUGAGUGAAACAAUGGCAGCGAGCGGUCAUCAACAACAGAACGGUCAGGUAAUCGGUCUCGGUGGAAUGCCAGGAAUCGAGAGUGAUCAAGAGACUAAACUUUUCGUGGUGAAAAAGACGGGUGACAGUCAGGGAAUAACAGCAUUGAUAAGUCGUCAGCUUCAAGAGGAAAGAGUGCCGCUGCUGUACACGAGCCCCGAUGUGUUGAACAACGCACUACAUCAUCUAAACCACCUUCACGCGCCCUACAUACUUCCCGUGUAUCCUGAGCGGAACAGCAAUCGAUCCUCUCCAACAGAAUCCUCGCGUACGAGUUCCAUGGCUCCUUAGAAAAAAAAACCAAAACAAAAACAAAAAAGAAAGAAAAAAACCAAGCCCAUAUAAGCUACCAGCAAAAAACUGUGAUCCUGAGACGCGCGUUUUCGUUGGAUUCGUAAGAAAAAAAAAAGAAAAAAAAAUAUGUAAAGAGGCCAUUGCUACCACAGGGUAACUCUACCCGCGUUCUUUUGUCCCGGUUACAAUACCCAGGUUUGCCUAGGAUUAAAUACUAUUACUGUGCAGCAGGAGACCCAAACGCAUGGCGAUUAGGACGGAUUGAAGAGACUGAUCACGAAACACCAGUUUGAGAGACAAACUACAAUUGAACUCUUUUGCCGAUUGGCCGAGCAUCCUCCACAGUCAAUAAGAAUAAAAGUCGCAUCCUGCGUUCAACUAAGCCAAUUAUUUAUACGGUAUCAAAGAAGGAAAAGGUAUAUCUUAGUCCAUGCUUCCAAAGUCAUUUUUGUUCGUUUACAAAACGCAGUAAGAGAUUCAUAAUAUCAUGGUUUUUCAUUGUUUUAUUUAUCCGUUCAUUCGCGCAGCUUACUUAUGGUGGCAUGAUCGAUGCUCGAACCAAGAGCUCGGUCUUGUAUUUCUUCCGCAUUACUUUUCCAUUUCCGUAUAUUGACGUUAUUUUUUGCUACGUAUAUGAAAGUUUAUUUGUAAAAUGAUUCUAAAACAUUGUUUUUUUUUGUAAUGAAAUGUAAGACUCAUAAUCAUGGAACAAAAAUAUUGAAACAAGAAGAAAAACGCAUGGUUGAGACUUCUAAGUGGAGACGGUUGUAUAACAAAGAAAAUCAAUAUUUGUACGGAUAAGAAUUCAAUGGAGGAAAAAAUUACUGUAUGCUGAUAAAGGCGUUUGGAUAUUGUUUCAUAAAGAUAUUCGUCAUGAUAAAUACUAAAAGAAAUCGCUGGAGACACUAGAAAAUGAGAUAUAUUGUUGUACUUAAGUCGAUUGCGAAAAAAUUUGUUUUUCGUGUGACAAAUAUGUGUUGUGAUCCGUACAAAGUUAUUAUUUUUAGAAUACUGUGAAAAAAAUAGCAACAAAGUGCAUAAGAAUUCGGAAAAAUAUUUGUUUUUCGUAACGUUGAUUAUUUUAAAAUUGAAAGUGGAUGAAAAAAGAAAUUGGGUUCGUGUCAAGAAAAAAAGUGGCAGGAUCAACAUAACAAUGAAUCAAUUGAUUGGAACGUCUCAUUGCAUUGCCAUUUUCCUUUAUUCGUUUUUAUUAACAAUAUGGCAAUACCGCUCGUGGGGCUUCCUACAAAAGUAGACAGACGAUUUUAAUGGACGUGACUGAGAGGAAAAGAAAAACAAUCUAAUGAUCUGUCUUAUAAAUAACGGAGGAUAUAAUUUAUCAUGGAGGAUGAAUUUCGAAGUAGGGUUGUCACUAAAUUUUCCAAGCCCCAAAAAAAUGUAUGAAAAAAAACCAGAAAACAUAAAACGGAGGAGCACAAAAAAUGUAGAAAAUCCUCGAGACGAUAGCAUUGCCAAGCAAUGCUAUCGCCUGUUAUACGCAAUUAUAUUUAAUAAAAUGAAGAAAAAGAACAACAAAAAAUAAAGUCAAAUUUUGUAAGAUCGCCACGCGCGUCUUUUACUUGUCGAGCCGUACUUAUAAACAUAUACACACGCACUAAACGCAGACUCCUUCCUCCACUCUACUUUGUGGUUAAAAGCUUAUUCUUUUGUACGGUGAAAAAGUAGUCGAAAAAACAAUGAAGAAUGAAAAAAUGAUUCGGACCAUCGAGAAUUUCGUUGGUCGUGGGCUAUGUACGGAUGAGACAAGUAAAAAAACGCUCCAUUAUAGCGAUAAAUCGCGUAUUUGAAUAAUAUAAAAGAAAAAACGAAAUACGAAAAAAAAAAAACACCCACAGUCCGAGGCGAUAAGUUGUUGUACCUAAUGCAUCGCACUGUGAUUCAUAAGAAUGAAGCGGUUAAAUGAUGAGAAUUUUCUAAAUAAAAACCCAUUGAAAAUGCAUUAAAACACAACGUUCAAAGGUAAAUAUUUGAUGAAGGAGCAAAUGAAAAAAGAAAAAAAAGAUCGAAGAGAAGUUCUCCAGCCUUCUACGAUUGAAUAUACGGUGAUACCGCAGUGCAAGCUGUAAAUACACGUUAUAAAUAUGUAUAUAUCGUAAAGAUGAUACUUAAAGAGAUUAUACGAAAUAUUUAUGAUCGAUUCGCACUCGAAUACAUUAUUUUCAGUCCAGUUAUCCUUUUUUACCUACGGUUAGGAAAAGGGAAAUAUUGCUUUGUUUGGUCGAGUUUGAAAUUCGUUGGCAGCUAUAUAACGAGACGCUCAAAUAUAUUGCUUACAAUUGUUUGAUAAUUUGCUUUCUGACUUUUGAAAUGUUUUCAUUGAUGAAUUGAAGGAACAUUGAACGACCAAUACUCGAACAUGAAUCUAUUGACAACUGCUUGUGGUGCGAAACGAUCGUAAUAUUUGUGAGAAUAUAAAACAAAAUAAAACUCCCGUAUGCCUUGACAAACGCGUAUAUUGUUGAGUGUAGAUAUAUACCAUUUAAUGCAAUUUAUAUAUAUAUUAAAAGAAAAAUGCAUGUGACGACGAGGAUCGCUGUUACACAGCGUCAAAGUAUACAUACGUAUAAGUGUAUUACUACUGUUUAGAGAUCUCAUAUAACAUUAAAAGAAACGUGAGACGUCUA